AGAGAAGUAUAAGACUAGUGGAUCCUGAGUUUUCUUUGAUUGUGGAUGAUGGUUCUGUUCUUCUUCAAGAAAUAAGACAGCAACAUUGGUCGUCCAAAACCUAACUCAGAGAUGCUAAAAAAGAACUCAAAUCCGUCAUCAGGAACUUAAUGCUUCAUUAUGAUAAUCAGUGCCCCGUCAUCAAAAGCUUGAAGCUUUCAAGGAAAUCAAGCUCAACAAGAAGGUUGCCAACAAACAAGACUGGUUCUUUCGAGCCAGAUUCAGUAAGUUUGAUUUCAAAUGAGGACCUUGUUCUUGACCUUUAUUUUCUUGAACGAGGAUCGAACCCACAUCAAAGUAUAUAGAUAUAAUUGAUUUUCGUCAUUGUGGUAAUAACCCAUUUGCGAGAUUCUAGUAAUUAGAAUUGAUUGCCUCACUCUAGUACUUUUCUUCGCUUGUAAAUGUGUUAAAAAAUGAUGCAGUUCGUCUCCAAAAUAUACUUGCACAUAUUCUAAAUUGAAAUUUUUUUCUUCUCCUUUAUAUCUUAGGGUUUUUGGCUGAAAUGAUUCACUUUUGACAUUUGGUUGGUGAAAUAAUUUGUUUUAGUGUCAUCAUUCUGUUGUUGAUAUAUAAUGAAUAUGUCGUCGAUAUUUUACUUCGAUCAUUUCAAUAACCAUAUAUUAAAAGAGGAACCUUUUAGCUAAUUGCGGUUUAUCUUAUAUCUUGAGCUAAAGUUCGCGCCCAACAUGACAUGGUUUUUAUCUUUUGGAUCAGUUGAGAGAUAUAAAUUUAUGGUUAGUAUUUAUUAUUUAUAGAAAUGUUAUAUACAUAUAGACUUGCACCAAGAUGUAUAGGCAUUGCUUAAUUCCUACCAAUGCAAUAAAGUGUCGUCUAUAUAUAACCAAUAAAAAAAUGAAAUGAUAUAUUUUGGUUAUAAACACAAUUUUAACAUUAAAAGCAGAUAAUUCAGACUCUUCUAGUUAUGCACAUGCGAAUAAAUUACAUUGUUUACUGUUUCAAAUAAUCUGUGUGCAUGUAUGAUUUUAAAGUUGUAACGUACAAACUCAUAAAAUCCUUAAAUACUCUUUAAUUGAUUUUUGUUUGUUGAGGAAUUUAGUGGAGGUAAUUAACACAAAGAAAACGUAUUCAUCCAAGAUCUAUAAACCUAACAAAACAAAGACAAAUUACAGUUGUCUAUGUAGCUUCAUUCCAAUAUUUUAGUCUACCCCGUCAAAUGAGUCUAAUCUGGAUUUUUCAUGCUAGACUCAUGAAGUUCAAUUUGACUCAAAAUAACGUUUCAACGAAGUAAUAGAGUUUCAAUUAUAUAUGGUUCUCAAAUCAUAUAAUUUUGUUUUAUUAUUUAUAGAAACUAUAGUGAGUGUCUCUAAGGUACGAGAAUAGUGAUUAUUAGGGGCAGUACAUUAAGGGCGGAUAUAAGGAUUUGUCCCUAUUAAUCUUUAUUAAGGGUAGAAAUAUAAAUUUGUCUCUAUUAAUUGUAAUAGAGGCAAAACAAUAAACACCAUGUUGUAAGCAUAAUUUACCAAAUAAUUAUUGACUUCAUAAAGAGAGGGGUGCGGCACAUAGAGAGAAGAAGAGAGAAAGUGUAAUUGUGAGGUGUGUUCUAUUCCACCCCAUUGUGCCCUUAUUUAAAGUAGUAGGGAAGAUUAAUUCCUUACCCUAAUAGAAUUACAACUCUAAUAGGAUAUUAACUACUAAAGGGAAUAUUCAAAGAUAUCCCUAGAUACACUAGGAUUUACACAAUCAUAUUCCUAAUUUAAUAGCACUGCAACACGCCCCUAUUAAAGUUACUACUUUUAGGGGCAAAAAAACCCCAUAUACAAAAUUUAGUUAUUAGGGGCGGAUAAAUGAGCCUCUAAUAUAUAUAUUUUUAACUUAUUUAGUUUUUUAAUUUAAUAAUUUACAUUAAGAGCAUUUAUCUUCUUAUAUUUAACUUUUUUCUUAAUUAUUAAUCAAAUAAAUAAGACAGCUAUCAUAACCCUAAUUCUAAGAUAACUAAGUUAUUCGUUCGCUUCACUCGUUUUCAAUGAGGAAUUCAAAAGUAAUUUACAACUUGGCUUGACUACAUGUCUACAACAACUUAUCUCUCCUGCACUUUAAAAGAAGAUCGUGCCCUUCUUAGAGACUCAUCAUAGGAAUUGCACCCCCCGAGGGACCAACCAUGCUCUCCAAUGCGAGAAGGUAAACUAAUUCCUCGACACCCACAUAGGACUCAUUUCCAAAGCAGGAGGAUAAACUCUACACUCCGAAUAUCUAGACGUGGAUGAGCCUGGUUGCAU
RNAcentral lists this long non-coding RNA (2276 nucleotides) under Malus domestica (apple). RNAcentral's name for it is "long non-coding RNA (MDOM_LNC006759)". Lineage: Eukaryota; Viridiplantae; Streptophyta; Magnoliopsida; Rosales; Rosaceae. The record is from RNAcentral.